UGCUGCUCGCUGGUUCUUCCU
This 21-nucleotide non-coding RNA is filed under the name Mus musculus (house mouse). The record is from RNAcentral. Lineage: Eukaryota; Metazoa; Chordata; Mammalia; Rodentia; Muridae.